CACGUAGGGCGCAAGCGUUGUCCGGAAUUAUUGGGCGUAAAGAGCUCGUAGGCGGUUUAGAAAGUCGGGUGUGAAACCUCCAGGCUCAACCUGGAGACGCCACUCGAUACUUCUAUGACUUGAGUUCGGUAGGGGAUCACGGAAUUCCUGGUGUAGCGGUGAAAUGCGCAGAUAUCAGGAGGAACACCGACGGCGAAGGCAGUGAUCUGGGCCGAUACUGACGCUGAGGAGCGAAAGCGUGGGGAGCGAACAGG
RNAcentral lists this ribosomal RNA (254 nucleotides) under uncultured bacterium. RNAcentral's name for it is "partial 16S ribosomal RNA". It matches the Rfam family "Bacterial small subunit ribosomal RNA", at positions 524 to 776 of the family's 1533-position model. The record is from RNAcentral.